RNAcentral lists this ribosomal RNA (490 nucleotides) under uncultured bacterium. RNAcentral describes it as "partial 16S ribosomal RNA". It matches the Rfam family "Bacterial small subunit ribosomal RNA", at positions 29 to 507 of the family's 1533-position model. The record is from RNAcentral.
AGUGAACGCUGGCGGUAGGCCUAACACAUGCAAGUCGAACGGCAGCACAGGAGAGCUUGCUCUCUGGGUGGCGAGUGGCGGACGGGUGAGGAAUACAUCGGAAUCUGCCCAGUCGUGGGGGAUAACGUAGGGAAACUUACGCUAAUACCGCAUACGACCUUCGGGUGAAAGAGGGGGAUCGCAAGACCUCUCGCGAUUGGAUGAGCCGAUGUCGGAUUAGCUAGUUGGCGGGGUAAUGGCCCACCAAGGCGACGAUCCGUAGCUGGUCUGAGAGGAUGAUCAGCCACACUGGAACUGAGACCCGGUCCAGACUCCUACGGGAGGCAGCAGUGGGGAAUAUUGGACAAUGGGCGCAAGCCUGAUCCAGCCAUACCGCGUGGGUGAAGAAGGCCUUCGGGUUGUAAAGCCCUUUUGUUGGGAAAGAAAUCUUUCAGGCUAAUACCCUGGGAGGAUGACGGUACCCAAAGAAUAAGCACCGGCUAACUUCGUG